Molecule: transfer RNA, 77 nt
Filed under: Methylocystis heyeri
Lineage: Bacteria; Pseudomonadati; Pseudomonadota; Alphaproteobacteria; Hyphomicrobiales; Methylocystaceae
Also listed under: 2 other names
Description: tRNA-Arg
Rfam family: tRNA
About the family: Transfer RNA (tRNA) molecules are approximately 80 nucleotides in length.
Source: RNAcentral
GCGCCCGUAGCUCAGCUGGAUAGAGCGCUGCCCUCCGAAGGCAGAGGUCGCACGUUCGAAUCGUGCCGGGCGCGCCA